CAUAACGUCGCAAGACCAAAGAGGGGGACCUUCGGGCCUCUUGCCAUCGGAUGUGCCCAGAUGGGAUUAGCUAGUAGGUGGGGUAAAGGCUCACCUAGGCGACGAUCCCUAGCUGGUCUGAGAGGAUGACCAGCCACACUGGAACUGAGACACGGUCCAGACUCCUACGGGAGGCAGCAGUGGGGAAUAUUGCACAAUGGGCGCAAGCCUGAUGCAGCCAUGCCGCGUGUAUGAAGAAGGCCUUCGGGUUGUAAAGUACUUUCAGCGGGGAGGAAGGGAGUAAAGUUAAUACCUUUGCUCAUUGACGUUACCCGCAGAAGAAGCACCGGCUAACUCCGUGCCAGCAGCCGCGGUAAUACGGAGGGUGCAAGCGUUAAUCGGAAUUACUGGGCGUAAAGCGCACGCAGGCGGUUUGUUAAGUCAGAUGUGAA
Molecule: ribosomal RNA, 431 nt
Filed under: Escherichia coli
Lineage: Bacteria; Pseudomonadati; Pseudomonadota; Gammaproteobacteria; Enterobacterales; Enterobacteriaceae
Description: bacterial SSU rRNA
Rfam family: Bacterial small subunit ribosomal RNA
Source: RNAcentral